GUUGGAGGGAAGGAGAGAGAGAGGGAGAAGGUUGGAGGGAGGGAGAGAGAAAGGGAGAAGGUUGGAGGGAGGGAGAGAGGGAGGUUGGAGGGAAGGAGAGAGAGAGGGAGAAGGUUGGAGGGAGGGAGAGAGAAAGGGAGAAGGUUGGAGGGAGGGAGGUUGGAGGGAAGGAGAGAGAGAGGGAGAAGGUUGGAGGGAGGGAGAGAGAAAGAAAGGGAGAAGGUUGGAGGGAGGGAGAGAGGAAAGGAGAGAGAGAGGGAGAAGGUUGGAGGGAGGGAGAGAGAGAGAAAGGGAGAAGGUUGGAGGGAGGGAGAGA
Oncorhynchus tshawytscha (Chinook salmon) is the source of this 316-nucleotide long non-coding RNA. The record is from Ensembl. NCBI's taxonomy places the organism in Eukaryota, Metazoa, Chordata, Actinopteri, Salmoniformes, Salmonidae.